RNAcentral lists this microRNA precursor (145 nucleotides) under Oryza sativa Indica Group (long-grained rice). Its description in RNAcentral is "MIR812 microRNA precursor family". It matches the Rfam family "MIR812 microRNA precursor family", at positions 27 to 186 of the family's 205-position model. The record is from Rfam by way of RNAcentral. Lineage: Eukaryota; Viridiplantae; Streptophyta; Magnoliopsida; Poales; Poaceae.
UCCGUUUGACUCUCCGUCUUAUAUGAAAAUUUUUAUAAUUCGUAUUUUUAUUGUUGUUAGAUGAUAAAACAUGAUUAAUAUUUUAUGCGUGACUUAUCUUUUUAAUUUUUUAAAUAAAACGGACGGUUAAACGUUGGACAUGGAA